Molecule: long non-coding RNA, 754 nt
Filed under: Lathyrus oleraceus (garden pea)
Lineage: Eukaryota; Viridiplantae; Streptophyta; Magnoliopsida; Fabales; Fabaceae
Description: Pisum sativum (pea) long non-coding RNA (PSAT_LNC009658)
Source: RNAcentral
GAACAACAAAAACAUAUGUUUACAGUGCUUACAUUAUGCUACAACAAUUUAUAAGCUUAUCUAAUGGCCUAAACCAAUCAACACAAAUUGAACAUAAAGUUUGGAACAACACUGCCACCAAUCGGAAUGUUAACCGAUGCAACUAAUACUGUAAUUCUCUGAAUCCAAAACCAGAUGAAAACAUAACCAGUGAAAAUUCCAACAAAGUUUUCUUUUUAUGAAUAACGUAAUAACAAAAUGAAAGAAAAUCUGAAAUACAGAGAAGAAAAGGCAAAAGAAUUUUUACGUUAAGGUUUUGUAAAGGAGAUCGGUUUGUUCGACUAUGACGCUUGGUGUGGCCUUGAUACCCGAUUGAAUGCUUCAACCUUCCAGUGUAUACCCAGAUUCUUGAGACUCCAUUUCACCUUCAUCACGGGUUUCCCUUAUUUCAGAUACCUUUGCCCUUGCAAAAAUGGGUUAUUGUUGCUGAGUUCAAAGCGGAAAUGGCGGAACCUGAACCAAUACGAAUCAAAAUCGAAUCAAGGAUCCAUGCAUCUUGUUUGACGAAUCAACAUGAACGAGUUUCGCAGGAUUUGUAUGCGGAUGACAUGUUGAUGAGGCUAAUGAAAAGCAGAGAGGGUUUGUUUCGAGUUUAGUUUGUUGAGUUGUAGAUCGGAAACCGGCAGAGAUGAACGGUGGUUGGAAGUUGCCGUGGCCGAAGACGACGAGAAGAUCUGGGUUAAUGGGUGUUGGAUAGUUGGUGGUUAAGAGGUUC